CCUACGGGAGGCAGCAGUGGGGAAUUUUGGACAAUGGGCGAAAGCCUGAUCCAGCAAUGCCGCGUGAGUGAAGAAGGCCUUCGGGUUGUAAAGCUCUUUUGUCAGGGAAGAAACGGUGAGAGCUAAUAUCUCUUGCUAAUGACGGUACCCGAAGAAUAAGCACCGGCUAACUACGUGCCAGCAGCCGCGGUAAUACGUAGGGUGCAAGCGUUAAUCGGAAUUACUGGGCGUAAAGCGUGCGCAGGCGGUUUUGUAAGUCUGUCGUGAAAUCCCCGGGCUCAACCUGGGAAUUGCGAUGGAGACUGCAAGGCUAGAAUCUGGCAGAGGGGGGUAGAAUUCCACGUGUAGCAGUGAGAUGCGUAGAGAUGUGGAGGAACACCGAUGGCGAAGGCAGCCCCCUGGGUCAAGAUUGACGCUCAUGCACGAAAGCGUGGGGAGCAAACAGGAUUAGAUACCCUGGUAGUCCACGCCCUAAACGAUGUCUACUAGUUGUCGGGUUUUAAUUAACUUGGUAACGCAGCUAACGCGUGAAGUAGACCGCCUGGGGAGUACGGUCGCAAGAUUAAAACCUCAAAUGAAUUGACGGCUGAGACAGCGACGACGACGACGAGGGAGGAGG
Molecule: ribosomal RNA, 619 nt
Filed under: uncultured bacterium
Lineage: Bacteria
Description: bacterial SSU rRNA
Rfam family: Bacterial small subunit ribosomal RNA
Source: RNAcentral